This 380-nucleotide ribosomal RNA is filed under the name uncultured eukaryote. RNAcentral describes it as "partial 18S ribosomal RNA". It matches the Rfam family "Eukaryotic small subunit ribosomal RNA", at positions 592 to 976 of the family's 1831-position model. The record is from RNAcentral.
CAAUAGCGUAUAUUAAGGUUGUUGCGGUUAAAAAGCUCGUAGUUGGAUUUCUGUUGAGGACGGCCGGUCCGCACUAUGUGCGUGUAUCUGGUUCGGCCUCGGCAUCCUCUCGAAAGCCGUUUCUGCGCUUGAUUGCGUGGUUCGGACUUCGGGACUUUUACUUUGAGGAAAUUAGAGUGUUCACGGCAGGCAAGCGCCUUGAAUAUAUUAGCAUGGAAUAAUAAUAUAGGAUCUUGGUCCUAUUUUGUUGGUUUCUAGGGCUAAGAUAAUGAUUAAUAGGGACAAUUGGGGGCAUUCGUAUUAACGCGUCAGAGGUGGAAUUCUUGGAUUGCGUUACGACGAACUACUGCGAAAGCAUUUGCCAAGGAUGUUUUCAUUGA